UCCCGGAUUCCGCUGGACCAGGCAGAGGCGGGGGACCCAGAGUUCCCGGGCAUUCUGCUUUCAUGCGCCCUCGGGGUGAAGCCGACACGUGAUGUUCCGUGCGGCCGGAUGACCUCAUCCGAACCCGACAGCUAACUCCGCCGGCGUUGAGAGGCCAC
This 158-nucleotide small RNA is filed under the name Arthrobacter sp. RNAcentral's name for it is "c-di-AMP sequence". It matches the Rfam family "c-di-AMP riboswitch aptamer (ydaO/yuaA leader)". Rfam says of the family: This family represents a conserved RNA structure found upstream of the ydaO and yuaA genes in Bacillus subtilis and related genes in other bacteria. The ydaO/yuaA element is thought to act as a genetic "off" switch for the ydaO and yuaA genes in its native state. It is believed that the element may be triggered during osmotic shock leading to activation of ydaO, a predicted amino acid transporter gene, and members of the yuaA-yubG operon which code for KtrA and KtrB K+ transporters. The record is from RNAcentral. Lineage: Bacteria; Bacillati; Actinomycetota; Actinomycetes; Micrococcales; Micrococcaceae.